UACGUAGGGGGCAAGCGUUGUCCGGAUUUAUUGGGCGUAAAGCGCACGCAGGCGGUCUGUUCAGUUUGGAGUGACAGUUCCUGGCUCAACCGGGAAAGUGCUUCGAAUACUGGCGGACUUGAGGGCUUCAGAGGGACACGGAAUUCCGGGUGGAGUGGUGAAAUGCGUAGAGAUCCGGAGGAACACCAGUGGCGCAGGCGGCUCUCUGGGUCGGCCCUGACGCUGAGGCGCGAAAGCGUGGGGAGCGAACGGG
This 253-nucleotide ribosomal RNA is filed under the name uncultured bacterium. RNAcentral's name for it is "partial 16S ribosomal RNA". It matches the Rfam family "Bacterial small subunit ribosomal RNA", at positions 524 to 776 of the family's 1533-position model. The record is from RNAcentral.